AGAGUUUGAUCMUGGCUCAGGAUGAACGCUGGCGGCGUGCUUAACACAUGCAAGUCGAACGGAGAAUCGAAGCUUGCUUUGAUUCUUAGUGGCGGACGGGUGAGUAACGCGUGGGUAACCUGCCCUUAAGUGGGGGACAACAGUUGGAAACGACUGCUAAUACCGCAUAAAGUCAGAGGUCCGCAUGGACUUUUGACCAAAGGAGCAAUCCGCUUUUGGAUGGACCCGCGUCUGAUUAGCUAGUUGGUGGGGUAGAGGCCUACCAAGGCGACGAUCAGUAGCCGGCCUGAGAGGGUGACCGGCCACACUGGGACUGAGACACGGCCCAGACUCCUACGGGAGGCAGCAGUGGGGAAUCUUSCGCAAUGGRCGSAAGYCUGACGSAGCAACGCCGCGUGAGGGAYGACGGCCUUCGGGUUGUAAACCUCUUUCGCGAUCGACGAAGCUCCAUCUUCUGGAUGGGGUGACGGUAGGUCGAGAAGAAGCACCGGCCAACUACGUGCCAGCAGCCGCGGUAAUA
This 520-nucleotide ribosomal RNA is filed under the name bacterium enrichment culture clone Cont30_3131. Its description in RNAcentral is "bacterial SSU rRNA". It matches the Rfam family "Bacterial small subunit ribosomal RNA", at positions 8 to 525 of the family's 1533-position model. The record is from RNAcentral.